UAGGGAAUCUUCGGCAAUGGACGAAAGUCUGACCGAGCAACGCCGCGUGAGUGAGGAAGGUUUUCGGAUCGUAAAACUCUGUUGUUAGAGAAGAACGUUGUGUAGAGUGGAAAAUUACACAAGUGACGGUAUCUAACCAGAAAGGGACGGCUGACUACGUGCCAGCAGCCGCGGUAAUACGUAGGUCCCGAGCGUUGUCCGGAUUUAUUGGGCGUAAAGCGAGCGCAGGUGGUUUAAUAAGUCUGAUGUAAAAGGCAGUGGCUCAACCAUUGUGUGCAUUGGUAACUGUGAGACUGGAGUGCAGUAGAGGAGAGUGGAAUUCCAUGUGUAGCGGUGAAAUGCGUAGAUAUAUGGAGGAACACCGGUGGCGAAAGCGGCGCUCUGGACUGUAACUGACACUGGGGGUCGAAAGCGUGGGUAGCAAACA
This 427-nucleotide ribosomal RNA is filed under the name uncultured bacterium. Its description in RNAcentral is "bacterial SSU rRNA". It matches the Rfam family "Bacterial small subunit ribosomal RNA", at positions 355 to 774 of the family's 1533-position model. The record is from RNAcentral.